GAUGAACGCUGGCGGCGUGCCUAACACAUGCAAGUCGAACGGAAAGGCCCUGCUUUUGUGGGGUGAUCGAGUGGCGAACGCGUGAGUAACACGUGAGUAACCUGCCCUUGAUUUUCGGAUAACUUCAGGAAACUGGGGUUACUACCGGAUAGGAGACCCUGCAGCAUGGAGGGGGUUGGAUAGUUGCGGCGGUUGGGGAUGGACUCGCGGCUUAUGGGCUUGUUGGUGGGGUAGUGGCUUACCAAGGCAUUGACUGGUAGGCGGCCUGGGAGGGUGACCGGCGACAAUGGUACUGAGAGAGGGACCAGAGUCGUACGGUAGACAACAGUCGGGAAUAUGGCACAAUGGGAGGGAGCCGGAUACAGAGACGCUGCGGUCGUAAUGACGGCUUGCUGGUUGUAAAACGCAUUCGCCUGUGACGAAGCGUGUGUGACGGUAAUGAAUAAAGAAGCACCGGCUAACUACGUG
RNAcentral lists this ribosomal RNA (468 nucleotides) under uncultured bacterium. RNAcentral describes it as "partial 16S ribosomal RNA". It matches the Rfam family "Bacterial small subunit ribosomal RNA", at positions 28 to 507 of the family's 1533-position model. The record is from RNAcentral.